GCUGAUCCCCGCUGAGUAUGUUUGCUAUCAACGCAACCCGGUGUGUAGAGUACUGUAUUUGUUAGUAGCUGCAGUAUGAUUAAAAAAUGCAUUGUGCUUUAGACUAAUGGUGAAUAAGCAAAAAUGCUUGUCAAUUCGGAUGUAAUAUUGGUAUAUUUACCGUAAAUGGCGUAUUUGUGUUUUUUUUUUCUCCAACACAAUGUCUGGAGUCCCAGUGUUGGAUACGCUCUUCCUACUUAUGUCCUUGAGCGAGACACUGAGCCUUCACUUCCAGUGUGUUUUCCUGCUCCCUCAGAUUCCAGUCCACACAGAUUUAAUCUGAAUGCAGGACCUCUCCUCACACCACUGUGGGCAUUCCAAAACACACUCAUCACCACGGCAACGGGACAAAGCAGCGGUGAUUGGCCACAGUCGUUGUCAUUCCUGUCAGGACAGGUGUGAGGGCUCUCAGUUAAACUACCUCUUGAUUGGUUCAAACUGCCGGGAGGCCAACAAAUCCCUAAUCAGUCUGUUAGCAUAUGAAGAAGUCGAGCAUGGAGGGAGGAAGUAAAGGAGAAAGAUGGAGCGAAGACAGGAUGAUGGAGAGAAAAAUGUAAAUGAGAAAAAUAUGAAGGUAUUUGCAAUUAGAAUGACUGGGAGACAGUUCCCAUGCCAUAUCAACACCGGGAUGACUGCAUGCAUACAUAAAUGGAGCAGUCAUGCCAACCUAUGCACUUGUACUGUAUGUAUGCACACGUUCAACACAUGAAGUCUAGCUGGGGUUACAGAGACCUUGUUCAGUUGUAAACUAUGGAUUCUCAUCUCAACUUAAAAUAUGUUUUAUUCAAAAUUGUGUUGUCAGAUUUACAGAUUUUAUUAUUCUACUCUAUGUGCAAUAUGUCUGAAGAAACCUAUACAGUAACUGCCACUCAGGCCAAGCCGUUGCCUCAUCAAUACAAAUAUCAGCCCACUCUCUUGCAACAGCUGAUCCUGGCUCUGUGUGGGAGAACUGAUCUAAUCAGUGGUGCUAUGUAAAUAUCAGUGGAUGCCUAUUUUCUUCCAGCUCUUCUAUGUGUUCACAGCGUAUGUGAUAUUUUAAAACUGGUCACAGAUUUUCUAAAAUGUAGCUGCAAGGUGAUCACAAACAGCAAAUGUCAAAAUACAGUAUAUGAUAUAACACAAUUUGUAAUUUGUUUUACUUGUAUUUCAACACCUUGACUAUUUGUCUCCUGUUCAUCUACUGCUUUGGUAUUUACAGUAUAUGUACACAGGCGCAUAAUAGACAGGGAACUGGGACAAAUACUGUAGACACAUUAGUAUGUGGAAGUAAACAGGACUAAUGCACGCUCUCUGACAGAUACAUGUUGUAGCAUAUUAAUAUACAUGUGCAGAGCACAACGUUUGGUCUUUCAGGGGACAACGUGUAAAUGAAACAUAGUUCUAGUCAUCAGAUGGCUUCUCA
This 1441-nucleotide long non-coding RNA is filed under the name Betta splendens (Siamese fighting fish). RNAcentral describes it as "lncRNA (ENSBSLG00000007340.1)". Lineage: Eukaryota; Metazoa; Chordata; Actinopteri; Anabantiformes; Osphronemidae. The record is from RNAcentral.